RNAcentral lists this ribosomal RNA (483 nucleotides) under uncultured bacterium. RNAcentral's name for it is "partial 16S ribosomal RNA". It matches the Rfam family "Bacterial small subunit ribosomal RNA", at positions 28 to 507 of the family's 1533-position model. The record is from RNAcentral.
GACGAACGCUGGCGGCGUGCUUAACACAUGCAAGUCGAACGCUGAAGCUCAGCUUUUGUUGGGUGGAUGAGUGGCGAACGGGUGAGUAACACGUGAGUAACCUGCCUCCUUCUUUGGGAUAACGCCCGGAAACGGGUGCUAAUACUGGAUAUUCACUGGUCUUCGCAUGGGGGUUGGUGGAAAGGGUUUUUCUGGUGGGGGAUGGGCUCGCGGCCUAUCAGCUUGUUGGUGGGGUGAUGGCCUACCAAGGCUUUGACGGGUAGCCGGCCUGAGAGGGUGACCGGUCACAUUGGGACUGAGAUACGGCCCAGACUCCUACGGGAGGCAGCAGCGGGGAAUAUUGCACAAUGGGCGCAAGCCUGAUGCAGCGACGCCGCGUGAGGGAUGGAGGCCUUCGGGUUGUGAACCUCUUUCGCUCAUGGUCAAGCCGCAACAAUGGUUGUGGUGAGGGUAGUGGGUAAAGAAGCGCCGGCUAACUACGUG